Molecule: ribosomal RNA, 253 nt
Filed under: uncultured bacterium
Lineage: Bacteria
Description: partial 16S ribosomal RNA
Rfam family: Bacterial small subunit ribosomal RNA
Source: RNAcentral
UACGAAGGGGGCUAGCGUUGCUCGGAAUCACUGGGCGUAAAGCGCGCGUAGGCGGCUUUGUAAGUUAGAGGUGAAAGCCCGGAGCUCAACUCCGGAAUUGCCUUUAAGACUGCAUCGCUUGAAUCAUGGAGAGGUGAGUGGAAUUCCGAGUGUAGAGGUGAAAUUCGUAGAUAUUCGGAAGAACACCAGUGGCGAAGGCGACUCACUGGACAUGUAUUGACGCUGAGGUGCGAAAGCGUGGGGAGCAAACAGG